RNAcentral lists this microRNA (22 nucleotides) under Strongyloides ratti. Its description in RNAcentral is "str-miR-8372-3p". The record is from miRBase by way of RNAcentral. Lineage: Eukaryota; Metazoa; Nematoda; Chromadorea; Rhabditida; Strongyloididae.
UUAAAGCUUAGAUUAAACGUCU